GUCUAUAUCAGUUUAAACGAAUUACAUUGGAAUCUAUUUAAGAAACGAAGAGUAUUAAACGUUAACCCUGAGACAGUUCUGUCAUUUUGUUAAGCAGCAAGAAAACAUUGUUUCCAAGUCAGGAAUAUGUUGUUUUCUAGUCGUUCCGUUGUUUGAUACGGUCAGUAGUUUUAAUUUUCAUAUUAAAAGGACUUCCCCCUAUCGGAAUUUAUCUUGAAGAAUGGUAUAUUUUUGUAAACACAUCUUUGUUCAACUCAAACAAUUGAUGACGCAGCAAGAAUUAAAUUUUGGAGAAAAAAAAUAUACAUGAUAUGUGGCGAACGAGAAAUCCAAAGUCGGAAUUUUUCUUGUGACUGGGGGUGAUCUCAGGUGCUCCGGAAGGGUAAGCAGAUCCUGCUCCACAUGUG
RNAcentral lists this long non-coding RNA (407 nucleotides) under Mytilus galloprovincialis (Mediterranean mussel). Lineage: Eukaryota; Metazoa; Mollusca; Bivalvia; Mytilida; Mytilidae. The record is from RNAcentral.